Molecule: long non-coding RNA, 5335 nt
Organism: Numida meleagris (helmeted guineafowl)
Lineage: Eukaryota; Metazoa; Chordata; Aves; Galliformes; Numididae
Exons: 4
Source: RefSeq, a predicted model, not a curated record
UAGUUGGCCAUCCGGGCUGCCAGCGCACGCUGCUGGCUCAUGUCCAGCUUCUUGUCCACCAGGACCCCCAAGCCCUUCUCAACAGGGCUGCUCUCAAGGAUUUCUAACCCCCGUUUGUAUAAAUACCCGGGAUUGCCGCGGCCCAAGUGCAGCACCUUGCGCUUGCCUUGUUGAACCUCGUUAGCUUCACAUGGGCCCACUUCUCCAGCCUGUCCAGGUCCCUCUGGAUGGCUUCCCAUCCCUCCAAUGUAUCAACCAAACUCAGUUUGGUGGUGUCUGCAAACUUGCUGAGGGUGCACUCGAUUCCAUCUCGGCCAAUUAGAGAGCACUCUGGCAUCCCGCCCAUUUCAGCUCGAUGAAUCAGAGAGCACUGCCAUAUCCCACCCCCUUCAGUGCAACCAAUCAGAGUGCAGUGCCACAUCCCGCCCCUUUUCAGUCCAUUCACUAAUAGUGUGGUAUAGUUUCCCCCUCUUUUCAGCUCUACCAAUCAGAAUGGAUUGUCAGACAAUGCCCGCCUUAAGCCCUACAAAUGAGAGUGCAGCACAGCUUCCCGCCCUUGCCAGCCCAACCAGAGUGUGGCAUUGCUUCUUGCUCUUUCCAGCUGAUCCAAUCAGAGAGCAGCACAGCUUCUGGGGCAUUUCAGCCCUGCCUUUCAGUAUGCUUUGUCACAUCCCGUCCUUUUAAGCCCAUGAUAGAAUGACACCAUCAAUUUGAUGAUUUGUUAUUAUCUUUAACAGAUAUUCAUAAGCACUUAGCACAGGUUUCAUGGGCUUGGAGAAGUUUUCCUUGGUUUUCUUUUUUCUUUUCUUUCUUCUUCUUCUUUUUUUUUUUUUUAAUCUUUUCCCUCUCCUGUUCUAAUGUUGUGUGCUUCUCAAAAAAUCUCGGGCUGCUGAGGCCAGGUACAGAAGCUGUUACUACUGUGCUUUUUCUAAAAGUUGCUCAGCUGUUUUGUGUUGCUCUGUUAAGUGUUCUGAACCACCCUUGGCUUCACUGCACGCAACUGUCCAAUUGAUACCAGCUUUUUUAAUCACCUCAGAUGCUGGCAAAAAAAUAAAUAAAAAGCAUGGCACCAUCAAUUCGAUGAUGAUUAUUAUUUUUUUAAGAGAUAUUCAUAAGCAUUUAGCACAGGUUUCUUGGGCUUGGAGGUGUUUUCCUUGGUUUUUCUUCGCUUUUUUUUUCCCCCCUCCUUUCUUUUUCCGAUUCUUGUUCUAACGUUGUGUUCUUGUCCUGUUCUGAGUACUCUGCUAUGCCUGACGGUAGACGGGGUGGACUUGGGAGGCCUCCAGGGUACACUGUGAGGCAGUGAGGGUGCCCUAGGUUGCCCCAGGGAGUCUGGGAGUAGGUUAGGGUGUGCCAGAGUUAAGCGGGGGUUCUAGGAGUACUCUGGGGCACACUGGAAAGCCUCUACAUGCCCUAGAGAAUAAUGAGCAGCUCUGGGAGUUCUCUACGGUCCCCUAGCGUAUGCUCGGUAAACCUGGGAUUCCUGUUUGGUCUGUGGAGAGCACUGGGGGUUCGUGGGACUUUUCUAGGAUACCCUAGAGUAUGCUGAGGAUCUUCUAGGAUGUCCUGAAACUCACUGGACAUCUCCAGGAAUCUUGUACGGUGCCUGGAAUACACCAGGGAGCCUUAGGAUUCCUCUCGGUCACAGUGGGAAGCCUCUAGCGUGCCCUAGAACACACAGGCAAUCUCUGGGAGUUCUCCAGCAUGCCAUCGUAUGUAGUGGAUGUACGUCUGGAUAUGUCUGUUGCAUGUAACUCAGUGGGAACACAGUGGCCGGCCAGCAAAGUCAGGCUUUGGGGCACUGCAGAAAAUAUGUUUUUCUAUAACGUGCCCCAUAGCAUCCGAUUGGCUUAUCGCCACCAGCGGAUUAACCAGUGGAUUGCCAGGUUUCCCAACAACUCUUCCCAAAGCAACCCCCUGCUUCCCAAAGUGCUCCAGGAGCUGCUGAACGUGCAGCUUUCCCACUCAUCAAAACCUGUUACCCGACACCUAAGCUCUGUGGUGUCACAGAGCCUCACAGGCACCUGGAAUCUCACUCGUUAUUGUGCUUCAGGGCACCUGUCCUUUUCUUCUUGCUUUUCCCUUGCUAUUUCUGGAUGUUUUCUUUGCUUUGUUCUUUUAUUCCCAUUGUCUUCCUCUACCUUGUUUAGGCACUGCGCUUUCUUCCAGGAUAUCUGGUCUUCUGGGGGAGGAUGGGGUUUGUCUCUCAGAGAAGGUGAAGACAAUCGUUGGCAGCAAGCUUUCCAGUUUAAUCGGGUGGGUUGCAAACUAGAGUUGCCGGUGGAGGCGUCAUGGAAGGAGACUAAAGCACUGCACAUUUCACUUGUAAGAGGAAGGUGAAAGAUAUUUACUGAUUCUAAACUGACAUAAGAUAGUAAUUUGAACAAUGAUAACAGCAACUUCACAAGAUUUGAAAUGGCUUGAUAUCCUUGACUACUCCUUACAUAGAAGGUAGAGGCGUGCAUAAUGAAUCUCAGAUCAAAUCUUAGCCAAGCUAGUAUAGCUUAAAAACAGUAAAUUGCUUACCCAGGAUCUGUCGGCAAGGUGUCACCACGUCCCAGGUGAAUCUCUGUGCAGCUUAAGAGGUGUCCCUACUCAAGGGGAAAUUCUGGUGUGUAACUAGCUGCUUACAAGAGGAACUCUCUGAGAGGUUCUAAUGGAUAAAGUAUAGCCCCACUGCGAUUGAAUCCCAGUUGCAAAAUGAGUAGAUUAUACACAUUUCUCACUGGAGAGCCAUAAGCUGACCCUGGUAGUUUGACAAACAGCACUCGCUCCAUUCACACCGGUAAUCUCAGCCCUUUUGCUGUCCAGGCUGCCCACGCAGAUUCUCAGCAUCUUGCUGUGUAAGUAUUGCAAAGUAUUGACUUUGAGGACCAACCGGAAUCAAAAGAUUUGAGCUGUCAUAGCUUACCCAUUGAUAAACCUCCCCUUGCUGGACAGGCAGAACCAAUUGCCUGUUGGCCAUUGUUUGUUCUUUCUUGCUUUGCUUUGCUUCAUGCCUGUAUGGGAACUGCUAGGUCAGGGCCUGAACUGGUGACUGAGCACCUGCUGAGGGGUGUAGCCAGCCCUGAGAGCACAGGUGGAAGCAAUUCACCUGUGGGAGUGGACAAGGGUGGAGCCUGGCUUCAUCCCCCCAGCCUCAUUUAAGGGCAGGCAGCUGAAGGGGAAGCGUUUCUACCUGGAAGCUGCUUCCAUUGUUGUGUUGGGUGAGUCCUGAUUCUUGGAAAGGGGUAAGUGGUUCUUUCUGUAAUACCAGAUUAUGGCCUCUGUCUUUCUCGAGUUAUCUGAAACUGGCUUACAGCAGCUGUAUCUACUAUUGCCUAUCCUUAAAAUACCCUUCAAUUCUUUUCUAAGGGAGAUUAAUGGAUUAUAUCCCUUUCUUUGAAGUGGUGUUAAUGGUGCUUAUGUAAGUUCCUUUCUUUCACUACUACCUCAUUUCUGGAAUGCUUCAGUCAGACUCAAGAUAAUACUAGAAGGCUGACUAUAUAUUACGGCUAUAGGAAUGCCUUGAGCGAAUCCCCUAUUCCUUAAAGGGGUUCUGCAUUCUUGAGAUUCUAUGUACACCACUUCACAUUUCUUUUCUUUUGGUUGAGUCUCUGUUCUCUCUUUCAUGGGCCUACCUUUAUGAUCUCCCCCAGGGAAUUGAAGCUUUUUAUGCUAGCAUACUGUCCCAACAGAUUUAACAACUGUAGUUACUGAUGCUGUGCGUAAAUCCUGCCCCAGCAGGGAGUUGUUGAAGGGUAUUCUGUGCAUCCUUUUCAUGUACUGAAUUAUGUUCUGUGUCUCUUUUGAUCUCAUUCUGUUUUGCAGCUAAGUUGGUGUAUGAGAACUGCUGAGUCAUGGCCUGAACCACUGAUUGAGCACCUGGAGGAAAGACCCAGUCAGCCCGCGGAGCACACGUGAAGGCAAUUCAGUUGUGUGAUAGGAAGGGGUGGUGCCUGGCUUCACCCCUCUUUAGCCUCAUUUAAGGACUGACUGCCACUGAGGAAGGAUGUCUUUCUAGAGAUUGCUCCUUGGUGGAAGCUUUUCCCUGUGAACCCAGAAUCUUCUGAUACAGCUGUGGGACCUGACAGCUUGAAGAAUUGAGGCCUCUGGUCCACUGCAUGCUGGGACUGGCACAAAGAAGCUCUGUGACUAGAACAUCCUGGGGAUUGUACCAACAGGUGAACUCAGUGGCAGCAGAGAACUGCAGUGCUCCUAGACAGUGCAAGAACUGCACAGAGCAAUUUGUGGCUUUUCAUGAAGUCAGCAAGAAAGGGAAAGCUGCAUUUCUUGGAAUGCCCUGGAACAUGACUUUGCUGACUGGUAACUUGUUACCUGUGCGGGAAAGGGCAAUGUACACCCACCAGUGUUUACUCAUUACAUAGUGUGGCUCAACCUAGUGCUCCCAGUGCUUGUAACUGUGCUUUAGGGUAUCCUACAGGCUGCCUGUCCUUCUCCUACACUCUCCUUGUCUCUGGCCUUUCCCUGCGGUGUUCUCCUUGCCUUUGCCUUGGCUUUCUCUGGCUAUUUUUGUUGCCCUUGGCUGGGCCUUCCGUGUGGUGUUAUUCCUGCCAUUGCCUUAGUUUUGGUUUUCCCUUGCGCAUUCUAAUUGCCUUUCUUUCUGCCUUUUCCUUCCCUCACUGUUCUCCUUGCCUUUGCCUUGCUGUUCCCUUGGGUUUUCUGCUUGCCUUCGCUUCACUGGGAUUGAGAGGCAGCGUUAAUGUUAAUCUUGACCUCAACCCCAAGCUUAAUGGGAGCUCUAAAGAUAAUUAUAUUAACCCACAAUGUGACUUCAAACCUAACCCUUAACCCAAUGCUGAAAAUGUCUCUAAUGCUCAAUGUAGCAAUAAAAACAGUGUCUGGAGAUUUCUAAGUAACCUUAAACCUAAUUGUAAUGUAAAAAACAAUUGUUGAACUAACCGUAACCUUAAUCCUAUAACUAGCUUAAAUUAUAACCCUAAUGCUGCUCAAUAUCAUUGUUAUAUCCUUAUCCUAAAAAUCCAGUAAAACUAAUCCAGAAAGAUACCGUAACAAAGAGUUACCUCAAUCCUAAAGAUAACCAAUGCCUCAACACUAAUACAACACUUAUUGUAAUUUUCCUCUUAAUUAAUGUUUGUAUAUUUCUAAAUAGGGUUUCAAUGCAAUUGUAAUGGUAAUAGCCCAAAUCUCUACUAAUGUUGACUGCAUGGACGACUCCUCCGAGUACGACGACUCCUUCGAAACGCCAGGACGGGGCUGGGGAGCCGCGCCGAUCCCAUCGGACGAGUUCUUCCCGCGGUCUCAGCUGUCACCGCGUGGCCAACCGCGGAACUACCGCUGCCUGCGCAUGGUGACCCAGGGAGCACGACGCAUG